RNAcentral lists this ribosomal RNA (253 nucleotides) under uncultured bacterium. RNAcentral's name for it is "partial 16S ribosomal RNA". It matches the Rfam family "Bacterial small subunit ribosomal RNA", at positions 524 to 776 of the family's 1533-position model. The record is from RNAcentral.
UACGUAGGGUGCAAGCGUUGUCCAGAAUUAUUGGGCGUAAAGAGCUCGUAGGCGGUCUGUCGCGUCUGCUGUGAAAACUCGGGGCUUAACCCCGGGCCUGCAGUGGGUACGGGCAGACUAGAGUGCGGUAGGGGAGACUGGAAUUCCUGGUGUAGCGGUGAAAUGCGCAGAUAUCAGGAGGAACACCGGUGGCGAAGGCGGGUCUCUGGGCCGUAACUGACGCUGAGGAGCGAAAGCAUGGGGAGCGAACAGG